This 1247-nucleotide long non-coding RNA is filed under the name Phascolarctos cinereus (koala). RNAcentral's name for it is "lncRNA (ENSPCIG00000032825.1)". Lineage: Eukaryota; Metazoa; Chordata; Mammalia; Diprotodontia; Phascolarctidae. The record is from RNAcentral.
AGAGUUGAGAAAGCACCGUCCCCCAGACACGCACUAAAAUUUCUCUGGAACCAGUAAAAUAGAAUCCCAAGCCCAGUUGGGCAGAAGGGAAAACAACUCGGUUCUAAAUGCCAGGAAAAAGUGCCGGGGGAGCAACCAUCAAGCUGGGUCCCUUGAAAUGCUGAAAAAGGUGGGAUAAUUAACUAGUCCGCCAACCCCCUUUGCCAGUGACGUCUGCCCUGUUGUUCGAUUGGAUUUUUAAAAGAAAAGAGAGAGGAAAAAAAAGGGCCAGUUGAUCGACAUGGAUUUCGGCCAAUUACUACAGGAAGGUGGGGCAUGACCGGUGAAGUCAACUAUCAAUCGGAUUUCAGAGACGGAUACGAAGGCGGGGCCUAGCGGGUUCCGUUCGACGCUGGAUAGGCGGAGCUGAAAAGGAGAGGAAGAUGGCGGAGUGAGAAGCUGCGGUUCCCGCUGCGGCCGCGGCUGCGGCUGCCGGGAGCCCGCGGUGGCCGGGGUUGACCAGCCCUGGUCAGCGGCCGGCUAGUCUUGACAGCUCAGGUUCCUUAUCCUAGACACAACAAUUUUCUUGUGGUAUUUAUGUUGUCGUCAUCUUGAAUGGAAAACGGAAUCCAUAGCUCAGGAUUUAGUAGGUUCUUUAGAAGGAAAAAGACAUUCAUUUGAAUCAUUCUAUCCUUCACUGUUUUCUCAGGUGAUCCUGCUUCUUUUAUGUAACUGCAGUCCUUGGUCUUGACAUGUGGAUCUAUCUCCUCUCUACUUAACUCCAUGGACCAGAAUGGAAAAAAUUUCUUCACUUCAUGUUCCACUUCUCAAAUACAGCACAUUUAGCUUGUUAGGUGGCUUCUUCCUUGGUGCCAUUUAGCUGGCAUCAUGCCAAUUCAUCCAGGAAAAAAGAGGCAAUUGAUGUUGGUACUCAGCAGCAGAGAGAAAGGAUUUUUUUUUCAAAUGAAGCAUAAUAUUUAGAUUGCUGUCAGGCGUUUAUAUAAAGCUUUUCAAGAAUACACAGUAAGAAGUCAAAAUGUGUGCUGGGGCUAUUUGUAUCCUGUUUGAACUAGCAUAAAAUUACACAUAUGCAUAAUUACAGCAGAAAAUCUUAUAUUUCAAUACAAGAAAGUACAUUUCAGAUCUGAAUCCUAAUUAAUUCCAUUACACAGAUUUCUUAAUCCAGAACAAAGGGCCAACUUUGUAGAUACUCCUGUGAUGUGGUGGUAAGUAAAGCAGCUUAUGUACAGUACAAUGUCCCUGCAUUU